RNAcentral lists this transfer RNA (72 nucleotides) under Camelus bactrianus (Bactrian camel). It matches the Rfam family "tRNA". Rfam says of the family: Transfer RNA (tRNA) molecules are approximately 80 nucleotides in length. Lineage: Eukaryota; Metazoa; Chordata; Mammalia; Artiodactyla; Camelidae. RNAcentral also lists the same sequence under 2 other names. The record is from Rfam by way of RNAcentral.
GAGAGUAUAGCUCAGUGGUAGAGCAUGUGCUUAGCACGCACAAGGUCCUGGUUUCACUCCCCAGUAUCUCCA